UUUUGCCAGCUUUUGAUGAUUUUCAGAGUUUAGAGGUGGACAAACAUUCUGAAAGCUUUUUGGAAUUUUUAAGAAAUUUCCAAAAAGUAUUCAGAACGUUUACCUACCUCUAAACAGCCAAAAAAU
Molecule: non-coding RNA, 126 nt
Organism: Caenorhabditis elegans
Lineage: Eukaryota; Metazoa; Nematoda; Chromadorea; Rhabditida; Rhabditidae
Source: Ensembl